RNAcentral lists this ribosomal RNA (364 nucleotides) under Serratia symbiotica. RNAcentral describes it as "bacterial SSU rRNA". It matches the Rfam family "Bacterial small subunit ribosomal RNA", at positions 32 to 392 of the family's 1533-position model. Lineage: Bacteria; Pseudomonadati; Pseudomonadota; Gammaproteobacteria; Enterobacterales; Yersiniaceae. The record is from RNAcentral.
AACGCUGGCGGCAGGCCUAACACAUGCAAGUCGAGCGGUAGCACAAGAGAGCUUGCUCUCUGGGUGACGAGCGGCGGACGGGUGAGUAAUGUCUGGGAAACUGCCUGAUGGCGGGGGAUAACUAGUGGAAACGGUAGCUAAUACCGCAUAACGUCGCAAGACCAAAGUGGGGGACCUUCGGGCCUCACGCCAUCAGAUGUGCCCAGGUGGGAUUAGCUGGUAGGUGGGGUAACGGCUCACCUAGGCGACGAUCCCUAGCUGGUCUGAGAGGAUGACCAGCCACACUGGAACUGAGACACGGUCCAGACUCCUACGGGAGGCAGCAGUGGGGAAUAUUGCACAAUGGGCGCAAGCCUGAUGCAGC